RNAcentral lists this ribosomal RNA (353 nucleotides) under uncultured Porphyrobacter sp. RNAcentral's name for it is "bacterial SSU rRNA". It matches the Rfam family "Bacterial small subunit ribosomal RNA", at positions 30 to 410 of the family's 1533-position model. Lineage: Bacteria; Pseudomonadati; Pseudomonadota; Alphaproteobacteria; Sphingomonadales; Erythrobacteraceae. The record is from RNAcentral.
CGAACGCUGGCGGCAUGCCUAACACAUGCAAGUCGAACGAGACCUUCGGUCUAGUGGCGCACGGUGCGUAACGCGUGGGAACCUGCCCUUAGGUUCGGAAUAACUCAGAGAAAUUUGAGCUAAUACCGGAUGAUGUCGAAAGACCAAAGAUUUAUCGCCUUUGGAUGGGCCCGCGUAGGAUUAGCUAGUUGGUGGGGUAAAGGCCUACCAAGGCGACGAUCAGUAGCUGGUCUGAGAGGACGAUCAGCCACACUGGGACUGAGACACGGCCCAGACUCCUACGGGAGGCAGCAGUGGGGGAAUUUUGGACAAUGGGGGGCAACCCCUGAUCCAGCAAUGCCGCGUGUGCGAAG